UCCAACGACUUCCCGCGGUGCGCACUAA
Molecule: small RNA, 28 nt
Filed under: Bombyx mori (domestic silkworm)
Lineage: Eukaryota; Metazoa; Arthropoda; Insecta; Lepidoptera; Bombycidae
Description: ovarian small RNA-26514
Source: RNAcentral